Molecule: long non-coding RNA, 488 nt
Organism: Dicentrarchus labrax (European seabass)
Lineage: Eukaryota; Metazoa; Chordata; Actinopteri; Moronidae
Exons: 2
Source: RefSeq, a predicted model, not a curated record
CACAUGGAAAUACAAGAUUAUAAAAUAUGACUCCUUUUACUCCGAGCCUGUCUAUGAGGUUGUAUUGCGGUGAAAGCCAACGUUAGAGAUAUAUAGUGCUUACCUGGACUGCACCAUCGGGUGCAAACUGAAAGCAACCUCAUGCGCCUGUACCACAGCAACAUCAAUCAACAUAUUCACAUGGAAAUACAAGAUUAUAAAAUAUGACUCCUUUUACUCCGAGCCUGUCUAAGAGAUAUAGAGUGGUUACCUGGACUGACAAUAAAAAAGGCUCCACCAAUAAGUUUGAUUGGUCCUAUGAUUUGAUCAUCUUAAAAAACAAUUUUUAAAUAGAUCUCAAAAGUCUAUUAUAGGGGUUUUCUUUAGUUUUCCAUUGUAUUAUUUUCUGUUUUGAUUUCAGUCCUCUAACAGUAAGUGUCACUGUGUACUGGAAAGCUAAAUGUCAUUAUUAUAUUUAUGUUUUAUAAAGUUUAAGGCAUGAAACCGAA